Molecule: small nuclear RNA, 142 nt
Filed under: Dasypus novemcinctus (nine-banded armadillo)
Lineage: Eukaryota; Metazoa; Chordata; Mammalia; Cingulata; Dasypodidae
Description: U1 spliceosomal RNA (ENSDNOG00000048357.1)
Rfam family: U1 spliceosomal RNA
About the family: U1 is a small nuclear RNA (snRNA) component of the spliceosome (involved in pre-mRNA splicing). Its 5' end forms complementary base pairs with the 5' splice junction, thus defining the 5' donor site of an intron. There are significant differences in sequence and secondary structure between metazoan and yeast U1 snRNAs, the latter being much longer (568 nucleotides as compared to 164 nucleotides in human).
Source: RNAcentral
AUACUUACCUGGCAGGGGAGAUACCAUGAUCACAAAGGUGGUUUUCCCAGGGCUGGAUGUGCUGACCCCUGCGUUUUCCCCAAGGGUGGGAAACUUGACUGCAUAAUUUGUGGUAGUGGCAGACUGCAUUCACAUUCUUCCC